UACGUAGGGUGCUAGCGUUGUUCGGAAUCAUUGGGCGUAAAGCGCGUGUAGGCGGCUUUGCAAGUCGGGUGUGAAAGCCCUCAGCUUAACUGAGGAAGUGCGCCCGAAACUGCAGAGCUUGAGUACCGGAGAGGGUGGCGGAAUUCCCCAAGUAGAGGUGAAAUUCGUAGAUAUGGGGAGGAACACCGGUGGCGAAGGCGGCCACCUGGACGGAUACUGACGCUGAGACGCGAAAGCGUGGGUAGCAAACAGG
This 253-nucleotide ribosomal RNA is filed under the name uncultured bacterium. RNAcentral's name for it is "partial 16S ribosomal RNA". It matches the Rfam family "Bacterial small subunit ribosomal RNA", at positions 524 to 776 of the family's 1533-position model. The record is from RNAcentral.